RNAcentral lists this long non-coding RNA (1637 nucleotides) under Octopus bimaculoides (California two-spot octopus). Its description in RNAcentral is "uncharacterized LOC106878316". Lineage: Eukaryota; Metazoa; Mollusca; Cephalopoda; Octopoda; Octopodidae. The record is from RNAcentral.
CCAAAUGCUACAAAUUGUCUUGUUUCAAGCUGACGGUCGAACAGAGUGACGCUAAUGACUUUCGGGCUAAAUUUGACGAAAUUUGUGUCUGUUCUUUUCAGAAACAGCUUGACGUAUUAGUGAAAAGUUAACGGUGUUAGAGAGCACAAAUAUUAAAGAGGUAGACGACAAAAAUUUAGCUGAUAUAGAGAAUUGUAAGGCAUUGAAUAUUGAAAAUGCUGCAUCGUGACUUCCGCUGAAUGCUCUGAGAAUAUUGCAAAGGCUAGGAGACGUGACAUGUAUUUCAUGAAAACCAAAUUUCCCUAAACGUGGUGUCUUUGGGUGCAUCUCCAGUGAGGGUGACGUCACGCUACCCCACAUCUUUGAACAAGGUGUAAAUUGCCUCUCCUCAGAUGCAUUAUCAAGAUGUCAUGUGCGAGGGACUCAUACGAGAAUCAAAAAAUCCACAAUCAAAAUGAAAUAUUAUACAGUUUCAAGAGACCAUCAGAUUUGUGACAGCUGAAGAAAUAACGGACUGCAGAAGCUGCCGGUUGGCACGGUUUUCAUCUUGGAGGGUGAGUGGUGAAAAAGCUGCAAUUAAGGUCGUUUUAUGCUAUUAAUGGAAGAGAAAGUUCGAGUGGUAAAAGAAAUUGACGAAAUGGAAGCUCUUAGCAAGCGUGGCACAAAAUUGGUUCAGACAUUUUAAGACUGUGGCACCAGCCUUGAUGACAAACGGAGGUCAGUGAGACCUUCCGUUGUGGAAAGUAAGGCCUUGCUUGAAGUAGUCGAACAACCGCCAAGCUCAAGCACUUGCACAUUGAUGGCAGAACUUCGUCAUUCACAAAGUACCAUCAGUUGAUACCCCCAUCAUCUCGGUCUAGCGAACAGAAGUCCUCGACAAGCUUCUCUUGAACUGGUCAAUAACCAAGCUCAACGAUGUAUGAACAUUGAAGAUGUCAAUACUGGCUGAUAAUCUAGAAAUUCUAAGUGAAAUAUUUCUAACUAAAUUCCUUGUAAUAGCCUUUGGAUGAUUAUUGAUGGAGCUAAUAUAAUUUAAAUUAUUUGAGGGUUUAUGGUAUAGGAAAUAUGAAUCAUUAUUUAAGUUAUGGGCAAUAUCCAAAUAGUUGGCUUUAGUUAUAUCAUCGACGAAAACAAUGCUUAAGCCGAUGUUACGGAAAACUUCAACCAACCUACUUUUAACCCUUUAUAAUAUUUGGCUAGAACACUUUUGAAGGGAGACAAUCGACACGAUACAGACCUCCAUUGAUGUUUGGGAAUUGGUCAACCAUCUCGUAAAGGAUAUAUGUAUCGACCAAAUCAGCCAAUUGUGCUGAGUCAGAACUUCUCAUCGUGAAAUCAAAACUGUCAGGCGUAUCGUUACCCACCCACAGCUUGCUUUCAAAUUUAAUGAUUGAUUUUCUGGCGGCUAGCACUACAUUAAUUUCAUCCCUGGUGAAACCUGCUUUGUUGUGUGCGAACCAGAGUGCCUUGUUGAGUACAAUUGGGUUUAUAGAGAAACAGUAACUAGAAAUGUCGAACUGGACAUACGCGGUAAUCAUAUUCUGUUAAAAUGUCUAUUGAUGUCAUUUGUUUCUCUUUUUUCCAUUGUUUUACAUCGUUUUAUUCCCUCUGGAAUAAUACCAAUGUUUUCUUCGAAA